AGAGUUUGAUCAUGGCUCAGGAUGAACGCUAGCGGCAGGCUUAAUACAUGCAAGUCGAGGGGCAGCGGGGGUAGCAAUACCUGCCGGCGACCGGCAAACGGGUGCGGAACACGUACACAACCUUCCUUUAAGUGGGGGAUAGCCCAGAGAAAUUUGGAUUAAUACCCCGUAACAUUGUAGAGUGGCAUCACUCAGCAAUUAAAGCUCCGGCGCUUGAAGAUGGGUGUGCGUCUGAUUAGGUAGUUGGUAGGGGUAACGGCCCACCAAGCCAGCGAUCAGUAACUGGUGUGAGAGCACGACCAGUCACACGGGCACUGAGACACGGGCCCGACUCCUACGGGAGGCAGCAGUAAGGAAUAUUGGUCAAUGGACGCAAGUCUAAACCAGCCAUGCCGCGUGGAGGAUGAAGGUCCUCUGGAUUGUAAACUUCUUUUAUCUGGGGAAGAAAUGCAAUUUUUUCUAAAUUGUUUGACGGACCAGAUGAAUAAGCACCGGCUAACUCCGUGCCAGCAGCCGCGGUAAUACGGAGGGUGCAAGCGUUAUCCGGAUUCACUGGGUUUAAAGGGUGCGUAGGUGGGCAGUUAAGUCAGUGGUGAAAUCUCCGGGCUCAACCCGGAAACUGCCAUUGAUACUAUCUGUCUUGAAUAUCGUGGAGGUAAGCGGAAUAUCAUGUAGCGGUGAAAUGCUUAGAUAUGACAUAGAACACCAAUUGCGAAGGCAGCUUACUACCCGAAUAUUGACACUGAGGCACGAAAGCGUGGGGAUCAAACAGGAUUAGAUACCCUAGUAGUCC
RNAcentral lists this ribosomal RNA (793 nucleotides) under uncultured bacterium. Its description in RNAcentral is "bacterial SSU rRNA". It matches the Rfam family "Bacterial small subunit ribosomal RNA", at positions 8 to 796 of the family's 1533-position model. The record is from RNAcentral.